UCAAAGAACAUAUAUAGGGAAUUAAUUAAAUAAAAAGAUAAUUAUUUCAUUGAAUAGGGUUUCAUCCUUAACCUCAGUAUAAGAAAAUUAGCUAGACAUACUUGAAUUGGGAGCAACAAAAUAAAUAAAUUCAGCCAUGGGAAAGCCGAAUUGCUGCAGAUUUUCUUCUCUAUCUUGAAUCCUUGCGUCUGCAGUUCUCCCUUCUGGCGGCUCUCUUGCCUUUAUAUAAUGUUACUGACUUGCUUAAUCCUUAUUGGAUUCUAAUUGCAUUAAUUCUUCUCCACCGACUUAUAAAGCCCACUCACCAAGGCCUUUUAAAAUUAUUUCCUUACUAAACUUUGAAAGCAAAGCACACGUUUGACCACAAAAGCAAAAGGCCAAUUAAUGAUUUCUUCUUUUAAUGCCCAGCACAUGCAUUCCAAAUUGCCAAAUCUUUGCUUUCCAAAUGCAUGCCCACCGUUCAUCCUUUGAAGAGAUUGACUUCCAAUUUUGGUCUUCUUGACUUCCAUUAAUUCUUGGUUGCAUUUUUGUCUUCCAAUUUAAUCUUUAUUCCUUCUCAAUUUGAAGUGUUUUCAUACCCUUUUUAUCAACAAUCUCCAAUUAAUUCCCUAUUCAAUAAAACAAUUCAAUUAAUUAAAAAUAACAAAUAAAUAUAACUAGCAAUUAUAUUAUUAAGGAUAAAAUAUGUAUAUAAAUUAUGCUCAUCAAAUACCCCCAAACUUAGAUUUUGCUAGUCCUCGAGCAAAACUAAAAUUUAAAACAAAAACAAAAGUAACGAAACAAAAAGUAAAUCCUAACUAAACCACUUUCGCAGGUAAUCGCGAUUGCAUUUAGCGUAUGCAACAAGCCUUUAAACCCCUAGGCGGCCCUAGUGGACGAGUUAUAGUCUCGUGAGGGCUUCAGUGAUGAUACCCACAAACAUCAUCUUUAAAAAUAAAAUAAAUAAAGAGAAAAAAAAAUUAAAUAAAACAUGAAAAUUGGCUCAAAGAUUGCAUAAAUUAUAUAGCUCAAAGAAAAUUUCAAAUAUUGGCAAAGUUCUAACUUUAAUUCAAUAGUCAAUCCCAUCUCUCUUUCAAUUCUUGUAGUGUGUGUGUGAAAUCAAUUCAAUCAAAUCCAUUCCCAAAAUCCUCAAUAUCAACAGCCUUCGCCUCAAACAAAGAACAGAGUAGGUCAAACUAAUCUUAUCAUCUUGAUCUCCAAAAUUUUUUUUUCUCUCACAGGCUUUUAUGUGCAUUUUCUUUUGAUUUUUUUUUUCAGCACAUGCACUUGAUUUGAUUUUUUUUUUCUUCUUUUUUUUUUUCUCAACCAUAGUCAGGAGCUUUCACUCUACCCCUUAAGGUAGCCUUCUUCUCAUGGUAGAUUAUCCUCUACAUACUUGUGGUACAUAGGCCCAAAUUACUCAAGGAUAGCUUCACUCUUAAGGGUUAUAGGUAGCUAUUUCUGACUUCGGCGCCCGUGUAUACUAUUUUGUAUUGUGGAGAUAAGAAUCAAGACAAACAGUCAUUUACUCUAUCUAAAAUUCUCAACUCAGGCUGCGUCAAUCUCAAAUUUCAAGUCAAAAUUAUGAAAGAACUGAUAUUAGUGCUCAUGGUUUAAAGAAUCUCAAUUAAGAGGAACUAACACAAGAAUUAAGUAUAAACUAAGACAAUAUUCAACCCUUUUUAAAAACCAUAUUCAUUGUCAAUCAAAUUCUUAUCAUUGGCUCUUCACAUAAAAACAAAAAACAACACAAAUUUUUUUUUUUUUAACAAACAAAGCACACACUAUUCCCACCCCCAAACUUAUUCGGAACAUUGUCCUCAAUGUUUCACAAACAAAAGAUAUGCAAAUGAGAGAAGAAAAAAAUAAUAACAAAACAUAAAUAAUAAAAAGAAAGUUGGAAAGAACACACCUGGAUGGGCUGGGAAAGCUUAAAACAAAAUGACAACUAAAAGAAAACGUUAGAAGACAUAUAAAUAAUAAAAUAAAAUAAAAAAUCCUACUAACUAACUAAUUAAUGUAAACAACAAAUCAACCAGGAUCAAUAAGAAUUUGGUGAAAAGAAAAGCAAUUAUAUAGAAAAUGCCAGAAAACAUAAUUGACUAAGCACUGGAGCAUUUUAUCUAUAAAAGGAUGAUGGUAAUGAAACUCCUCAAUAUCGCACUGCCUUGAUCUCUUUUGUUCCAUGCUUUCCUGAGAGUUAUCUGAAGUAGUAUAAAAAUCUAAUAAUUUAAGCACUUUAGAGCUUACCACCUUUUUCAUGUUAGAAUGUGACCUAUGUUGUACUUUUUUAGGAAGUAACUCCAACUUGAAUGGUUCAAUUUUCUCUUCAGGAGGUAGUGGCUCAAUCUUUUCUUUCCACUUAAUUAGAUCUAUGAUAAGAGUCGAAUCAAGUAAAGCAUUAACUUCUUCAAUACCACUAUCAACAUCAACAGAGAAAUCAGAGUCAUUUGUGCAUGGUAUUAAUGGAUUGUCACAGUGGUUAGAAAUAAGUGAGUCAUCAAUUGAUGCUUCUAUCAUAUCUACUUCAACGACUUGAUCAUCUUCUUGUGCCUGCUUGGGAACAUUAAAAAUAUUUAAUUCCAUGGUCAUGUUACCAAAAGACAAUUGCAUGUUUCCAGUCCUGCAACUAAUAUGAGCAUCGGCUGUAGCUAAGAAAGGACGACCUAGAAUAACUGGGGUGUGUUUCUUAGGAUCCUGUACAUGCUGAGUAUCAAUAACGAUAAAAUCAACAGGAUAAUAAAAUUUAUCAAUCUGUAUCAACACAUCCUCUAUAAUACCACGAGGUAUUUUCAUUGACCUAUCAGCAAGUUGCAAAAUAAUAGGAGUUGAUUUUAACUCACCUAGUCCAAGUUGCAUGUAAACAGAAUAAGGCAAGAGAUUAACACUAGCGCCUAAAUCCAAUAAUGCUUUAUCAAAACAUUGGUUCCCUAUAACACAUGAGAUAGUAGGAGAACCAGGAUCCUUAAAUUUUGGAGGCAUUUUACAUUGAAGUAAAUUGCUAGUUUGUUCAGUUAAAAAUGCCUUUUUGGUGACAUGCAAAUUUCUCUUUUUAGUGCAUAAAUCUUUCAAAAACUUGGCAUAGGAAGGAACUUGCUUAAUAGCAUCGAGUAAAGGGAUGUUUAUACUUACCUGCUUGAAGAUUUCCAUAAUCUCACUUGUUGAAGUCCCUUUCUUUACCUUUGUUAACCUUUGAGGAAAAGGAGCCUUGGGAAUGUAAGCUGGCGGGCCACUUUCUUCAGGAUCAUUUGGUGAUGGGUCUUGUGAUGGAACUGGAUCUGAAGAAGUAAGCUCAGAUGUCUUCCUUGUUGGAACCUCCACCUUGUUGUCAAAUAAUUUUCCCCUUCUCAAGGUCAUAAUAGAUUUUGCUUCUUCAUGCUGAUGGCUUGAACUCGAUCCAACUUCAUGCACUCCUUUAGGAUUGGGAAUUGAUUGACUUGGGAAUUUUCCUUUUUCUCUCUCCGCUACAGUAGUUGCUAAUUGACCCAAUUGAUGUUCAAGCUUUAGAAUAGCUUGAGUGUUUGAUUGAAAAGCUUGUUGGGUUGACUGAAUGAAACUUUGAAGUGUAUCCUCUAAAGAAGGCUUUCUUUGUUGGGGUGCAACAAAUUGAGACAUAGGUUGUUGGGCAGGAGGAUAUACUUGGUUAGGAGGGACAAAUUGUUGAUUGGGCAUGUUAAAUUGUUGCCCUCCUUGGUUUGACAAAUGUUGAUUUUGUGUCUAAGAAAAAUUAGGGUGAUUCCUCCAAGUAGGAUUAUAUGUGGAUGAAUAUGGACUAUUGGAGGUUUUCUCAUAUGCUUGUAAGGCAUGUACCUGCUCAGAAUAAGCCUCUUGAUAGGCUGGUAAUGAUGGACAAUUCUGUGCUGUAUGAGACAAGUUAGAACAAAUAGCACAAACUUCAUUAGCUACACUAGGAUGAUGAUUCAUUGAUUGGUUCAGAGCUAAGGCAUCUACUUUCCUAGAAAGUGUAGCUAGAGUGGAUUUCACAUCAAAAUCAUCCUUAACUUCAUAUAACCCCUUUCUAGAAACUUGAGAUGAUUUUUCCCUUUGAUUUGAAAAAUCCCACUGUUGAGAAUUUUCAGAAAGUGAAUUAAAGAAAUCCCAUGCAGCCCCUUCAUGUAAGUUCAAAAAUCUCCCACCAUUCAUAGACUCUACCAUAUGACGAUUUGACAUGGUUAAACCGUUAUAAAAGCAUUGUAUAAGUCUCCAUUUUUCAAAACCAUGGUGGGGACACUUGAGGAGUAAAUCAUUGAAUCUUUCCCAACACUCGUAAAAUUGCUCACUCUCUCUUUGAUAAAAAUCACUUAUCUCUCUCCUAAGGGCAUUUGUUUUAGACAUAGGGAAAAACUUGGUGAGAAACUUAUUACUCAAUUCAUCCCAUGUACUAAUAGACCCAGCAGGAAGUGAAUUCAACCAAGCUUUUGCUUUGUCUUUUAAUGAGAAAGGGAACAUACGAAGCCUAAUUGACUCAUCAUUAAAAUUUUGAAAACGGAAUGUAGAGCAUAUGUCAAGAAAUUCCUUAAUGUGCAAAUAUGGAUCCUCUCUCUCUAACCCAUGGAAGGAUGGCAAAAGUUGAAUGACAGAGGGCUUAAGUUCAAAGUGUGUUGCUGUAGUUUGUGGCAACACAAUACAAGAUGGUUGGUUGGCUGCAAGUGGUGAAAAAUAUUCUCUAAGGGUUUUCUCUGCUUGCACUGGUGGGAGUAUUGGCAAUAGUCUAUUUGGGUCAUCCAUCACUUCUAAAGAACUAGUUUGACUACUAUCAAUUUUUGACUCUCUUUUAACCAAACGAUUUGUUGAAUCACGUUCCCAAACACUCAUAAACUAACUAGACAAGGAAAGAAAGAGAAAUAAAAUAAAAUAAACCAACAAAAAUGAGAAUAAACGAAAUUUAAAAAUAAAAGAAAUCAAACAACCAAACAAUGAAUUUAAAAUAAAAUAAAAUUAAAAUUAAAAUUAAAAGUUUUUUUUUUGUGUUUUUUUUUUUAAAAAAAAAAAUUGAAUAAAUAAAAUAAAAGACAACCUAAAUUAUAACUAGUGGAAGAAUCAAAUUAACCUAGAUUAAACUGACUUUCUAGCACAAUCCCCGGCAACGGCGCCAAAAACUUGUUGUGAAAAUUUUAAUAUACUCGCAAGCGCACGAAUCUAGAAAUAGAGUAGUGGUAACGAGGUCGAUCCCACAGGGAUUGAUAAAAAGUCUAAUUUAAAUCUUAAAUUAAUAUUAAUCCUAACCUAGUUGAGCAAAUUGAGUUUUAAAAGAAAUUAAACUAAGAAAACAAUUAAAGUAAAAGAGAAUUCAAUAAGAUAGAAAUUACCAAGGUUUCAGAAUCCACCACUAUUCAACUAGUAAUUAUCUAAUUAUUAAUUAAUCCCCAAUUUUAGAGUGACAACUCGAAAUCAAUCUAUGUCAUCUCAUAGAUAUAACAAUUAAGCCCAAGUAAUUAAAUCUAAUGUAGGUUCUUUUUCUGCUUAAUAAUAUGACAUCUAAGCAUCCCAUGUAAACAUAUUGAAUAACAAAGAGUCAAAGUUUUCCUAAGCACUCUAUGUAAACAAUUUAAUGAAAGACAUAAAAUCAAAGAUAAUCAUGUAUAAACUUUAUAGAUCCAAGCAUAGAAUUAAUCGAAUAUUAAUCCUAACAAUCAAUAAUGCAUGACAGAAUUGAUGAAAAGAUUUUAUUAACAUCCAAUUAAUCAUGUGAAAUAAAAACCAUAAUUAUCAAAGAACAUAUAUAGGGAAUUAAUUAAAUAAAAAGAUAAUUAUUUCAUUGAAUAGGGUUUCAUCCUUAACCUCAGUAUAAGAAAAUUAGCUAGACAUACUUGAAUUGGGAGCAACAAAAUAAAUAAAUUCAGCCAUGGGAAAGCCGAAUUGCUGCAGAUUUUCUUCUCUAUCUUGAAUCCUUGCGUCUGCAGUUCUCCC
This 5889-nucleotide long non-coding RNA is filed under the name Citrus maxima (pomelo). RNAcentral's name for it is "long non-coding RNA (CMAX_LNC000133)". The stretch from base 4193 to 4299 matches the Rfam family "Plant small nucleolar RNA R71". The record is from RNAcentral. Lineage: Eukaryota; Viridiplantae; Streptophyta; Magnoliopsida; Sapindales; Rutaceae.